UGGGGAAUAUUGCGCAAUGGGCGAAAGCCUGACGCAGCAACGCCGCGUGAGUGAUGAAGGCCUUCGGGUUGUAAAGCACUUUCGGACGGAACGAAAUCGCGCGGGCGAAUACCCCGCGUGGAUGACGGUACCGUAAGAAGAAGCACCGGCUAACUACGUGCCAGCAGCCGCGGUAAUACGUAGGGUGCGAGCGUUAAUCGGAAUUACUGGGCGUAAAGUGUGCGCAGGCGGCCGAGCAAGUCGAGUGUGAAAGCCCCGAGCUUAACUUGGGAAUUGCGCUCGAAACUACUUGGCUGGAGUGUGGCAGAGGAGGGUGGAAUUCCACGUGUAGCGGUGAAAUGCGUAGAGAUGUGGAGGAACACCGAUGGUGAAGGCAGCCCUCUGGGCCAACACUGACGCUCAUGCACGAAAGCGUGGGGAGCAAACAGGAUUAGAUACCCUUGUAGUCCCUGAGCGGGCUGGCAAGGCGCAU
This 472-nucleotide ribosomal RNA is filed under the name uncultured bacterium. Its description in RNAcentral is "bacterial SSU rRNA". It matches the Rfam family "Bacterial small subunit ribosomal RNA", at positions 355 to 825 of the family's 1533-position model. The record is from RNAcentral.